RNAcentral lists this long non-coding RNA (222 nucleotides) under Piliocolobus tephrosceles (Ugandan red Colobus). RNAcentral describes it as "lncRNA (ENSPTEG00000006944.1)". Lineage: Eukaryota; Metazoa; Chordata; Mammalia; Primates; Cercopithecidae. The record is from RNAcentral.
ACCAGCCUGGGGAAGCUCAUUUGAUGACCCACAUCAUGCCUGGAGAGAAACUUUCCUACGCCAGAGUCUGGAAAAGCUGGAAGUAGACCUUCUGUCCAUCCCCUGGAGCUUGGCCUCUGAAGUCCCUGAGUGUCUUUAAUGUGCUGGUGUAUACAUUAGGGCAGGUAUGGUGACUUUAAAUCUGUGCCCAUUGCAAUUAAAAUGCUUGUGAGAUAAGAUCAG